CCAGACUCCUACGGGAGGCAGCAGUGAGGAAUAUUGGUCAAUGGCCGGAAGGCUGAACCAGCCAUACCGCGUGAAGGUCAGUGCCCUAUGGGCGUUAAACUUCUUUUGUGCGGGAGCAAUAAUGGUCACGUGUGGCCAGACGAGAGUACCGUACGAAUAAGCAUCGGCUAACUCCGUGCCAGCAGCCGCGGUAAUACGGAGGAUGCGAGCGUUAUCCGGAUUUAUUGGGUUUAAAGGGUGCGUAGGCGGAUUUUUAAGUCAGGGGUAAAAUGUCCGGGCUCAACCCGGGCCGGCCGUUGAAACUGGGGAUCUUGAGUGGGCGAGAAGUAUGCGGAAUGCGUGGUGUAGCGGUGAAAUGCAUAGAUAUCACGCAGAACCCCGAUUGCGAAGGCAGCAUGCCGGCUUCCGACUGACGCUGAAGCACGAAAGCGUGGGGAUCGAACAGGAUUAGAUACCCUUGUAUC
RNAcentral lists this ribosomal RNA (464 nucleotides) under uncultured bacterium. RNAcentral's name for it is "bacterial SSU rRNA". It matches the Rfam family "Bacterial small subunit ribosomal RNA", at positions 331 to 795 of the family's 1533-position model. The record is from RNAcentral.